CCAGUAGCGGCGAGCGAACGGGGAGGAGCCCAGAGCCUGAAUCAGUGUGUGUGUUAGUGGAAGCGUCUGGAAAGGCGCGCGAUACAGGGUGACAGCCCCGUACACAAAAAUGCACAUAUUGUGAGCUCGAUGAGUAGGGCGGGACACGUGGUAUCCUGUCUGAAUAUGGGGGGACCAUCCUCCAAGGCUAAAUACUCCUGACUGACCGAUAGUGAACCAGUACCGUGAGGGAAAGGCGAAAAGAACCCCGGCGAGGGGAGUGAAAAAGAACCUGAAACCGUGUACGUACAAGCAGUGGGAGCCUCUUUUAUGGGGUGACUGCGUACCUUUUGUAUAAUGGGUCAGC
Molecule: ribosomal RNA, 346 nt
Filed under: Paenibacillus polymyxa
Lineage: Bacteria; Bacillati; Bacillota; Bacilli; Caryophanales; Paenibacillaceae
Description: partial 23S ribosomal RNA
Rfam family: Bacterial large subunit ribosomal RNA
Source: RNAcentral